ACCCUUGUCUUUUGCGCACUUGUUGUUUCCUGGGCGGGUUCGCCCGCCACCAGGACCACAUGAUAAACCUUUUUUAUGCAGUUGCAAUCAGCGUCAGUACAACAAAAUGUAAAUCAUUUACAACUUUCAACAACGGAUCUCUUGGUUCUGGCAUCGAUGAAGAACGCAGCGAAAUGCGAUACGUAGUGUGAAUUGCAGAAUUCAGUGAAUCAUCGAAUCUUUGAACGCACAUUGCGCCCUUUGGUAUUCCAAAGGGCAUGCCUGUUCGAGCGUCAUUUGUACCCUCAAGCUUUGCUUGGUGUUGGGCGUCUUGUCUUUGCUCCGCCAAAGACUCGCCUUAAAACGAUUGGCAGCCGGCCUACUGGUUUCGCAGCGCAGCACAUUUUUGCGCUUGCAAUCAGCAAAAGAGGACGGCACUCCAUCAAGACUCCUUCUCACGUUUGACCUCGGAUCAGGUAG
Molecule: ribosomal RNA, 459 nt
Filed under: Curvularia akaii
Lineage: Eukaryota; Fungi; Ascomycota; Dothideomycetes; Pleosporales; Pleosporaceae
Description: eukaryotic LSU rRNA
Rfam family: 5.8S ribosomal RNA (bases 122-275)
Source: RNAcentral